UACGAAGGGGGCUAGCGUUGCUCGGAAUCACUGGGCGUAAAGGGUGCGUAGGCGGGUCUUUAAGUCAGGGGUGAAAUCCUGGAGCUCAACUCCAGAACUGCCUUUGAUACUGAGGAUCUUGAGUUCGGGAGAGGUGAGUGGAACUGCGAGUGUAGAGGUGAAAUUCGUAGAUAUUCGCAAGAACACCAGUGGCGAAGGCGGCUCACUGGACCGGUUCUGACGCUGAUGCGCGAAAGCGUGGGGAGCAAACGGG
This 253-nucleotide ribosomal RNA is filed under the name uncultured bacterium. Its description in RNAcentral is "partial 16S ribosomal RNA". It matches the Rfam family "Bacterial small subunit ribosomal RNA", at positions 524 to 776 of the family's 1533-position model. The record is from RNAcentral.